Molecule: ribosomal RNA, 493 nt
Filed under: uncultured Lachnospiraceae bacterium
Lineage: Bacteria; Bacillati; Bacillota; Clostridia; Lachnospirales; Lachnospiraceae
Description: bacterial SSU rRNA
Rfam family: Bacterial small subunit ribosomal RNA
Source: RNAcentral
GGAUGAACGCUGCGGCGUGCCUAACACACUGCAAGUCGAACGAAGCGAUACGACCACCGGGAAGGACCUCCGGGCGGGAAGAGGGGUAGUGACUGAGUGGCGGACGGGUGAGUAACGCGUGGGCGAACCUGCCCUGUACCGGGGGACGUAACACCCAGAAAUGGGUGCUAAUACCGCAUAAGCGCACAGUGCCGCAUGGCACGGUGUGAAAAACUCCGGUGGUACAGGAUGGGCCCGCGUCUGAUUAGCUAGUUGGCAGGGUAACGGCCUACCAAGGCAGCGAUCAGUAGCCGGCUUGAGAGAGUGACCGGCCACAUUGGGACUGAGACAUGGCCCAAACUCCUACGGGAGGCAGCAGUGGGGAAUAUUGCACAAUGGGGGAAACCCUGAUGCAGCGACGCCGCGUGAGUGAAGAAGUAUUUCGGUAUGUAAAGCUCUAUCAGCAGGGAAGAAGAUGACGGUACCUGACUAAGAAGCCCCGGCUAACUACGUG